This 459-nucleotide ribosomal RNA is filed under the name uncultured bacterium. RNAcentral's name for it is "partial 16S ribosomal RNA". It matches the Rfam family "Bacterial small subunit ribosomal RNA", at positions 338 to 795 of the family's 1533-position model. The record is from RNAcentral.
CCUACGGGAGGCAGCAGUGAGGAAUAUUGGUCAAUGGACGAGAGUCUGAACCAGCCAAGUAGCGUGAAGGAUGACUGCCCUAUGGGUUGUAAACUUCUUUUAUAUGGGAAUAAAACGUUCCACGUGUGGGAUUUUGUAUGUACCAUAUGAAUAAGGAUCGGCUAACUCCGUGCCAGCAGCCGCGGUAAUACGGAGGAUCCGAGCGUUAUCCGGAUUUAUUGGGUUUAAAGGGAGCGUAGGUGGAUUGUUAAGUCAGUUGUGAAAGUUUGCGGCUCAACCGUAAAAUUGCAGUUGAAACUGGCAGUCUUGAGUACAGUAGAGGUGGGCGGAAGUCGUGGUGUAGCGGUGAAAUGCUUAGAUAUCACGAAGAACUCCGAUUGCGAAGGCAGUUCACUGGACUGCAACUGACACUGAGGCUCGAAAGUGUGGGUAUCAAACAGGAUUAGAACCCGUGUAGUC